This 1386-nucleotide ribosomal RNA is filed under the name uncultured marine bacterium. RNAcentral describes it as "bacterial SSU rRNA". It matches the Rfam family "Bacterial small subunit ribosomal RNA". The record is from RNAcentral.
GAGUUUGAUCCUGGCUCAGGAUGAACGCUAGCGGCAGGCUUAACACAUGCAAGUCGAGGGGUAACGGGGAAGCUUGCUUCCGCCGACGACCGGCGCACGGGUGCGUAACGCGUAUACAAUCUACCUUGUACCGGGGUAUAGCCUUUAGAAAUGAAGAUUAAUCCCCCAUAGUCUCUUAGAGUGGCAUCACUUCUAGAGUAAAGGUUACGGUAUAAGAUGAGUAUGCGUUCUAUUAGUUUGUUGGUGUGGUAACGGCACACCAAGACUACGAUAGAUAGGGGCCCUGAGAGGGGGAUCCCCCACACUGGUACUGAGACACGGACCAGACUCCUACGGGAGGCAGCAGUGAGGAAUAUUGGACAAUGGAGGCAACUCCGAUCCAGCCAUGCCGCGUGCAGGAAGACUGCCCUAUGGGUUGUAAACUGCUUUUAUACAGGAAGAAACACCUCUACGUGUAGAGGCUUGACGGUACUGUAAGAAUAAGGAUCGGCUAACUCCGUGCCAGCAGACGCGGUAAUACGGAGGAUCCAAGCGUUAUCCGGAAUCAUUGGGUUUAAAGGGUCCGUAGGUGGACAAUUAAGUCAGAGGUGAAAUCUUGCAGCUCAACUGUAAAAUUGCCUUUGAAACUGGUUAUCAUGAGUUAUUAUGAAGUAGUUAGAAUAUGUAGUGUAGCGGUGAAAUGCAUAGAUAUUACAUAGAAUACCAAUUGCGAAGGCAGAUUACUAAUAAUCAACUGACACUGAUGGACGAAAGCGUGGGUAGCGAACAGGAUUAGAUACCCUGGUAGUCCACGCCGUAAACGAUGGUUACUAGCUGUUUGGACUUCGGUCUGAGUGGCUAAGCGAAAGUGAUAAGUAACCCACCUGGGGAGUACGUUCGCAAGAAUGAAACUCAAAGGAAUUGACGGGGGCCCGCACAAGCGGUGGAGCAUGUGGUUUAAUUCGAUGAUACGCGAGGAACCUUACCAGGGCUUAAAUGUAAGUUGCAUUAGUUAGAGAUAGCUAUUUNUUCGGACCACUUACAAGGUGCUGCAUGGUUGUCGUCAGCUCGUGCCGUGAGGUGUCAGGUUAAGUCCUAUAACGAGCGCAACCCCUGUUGUUAGUUGCCAGCGAGUCAUGUCGGGAACUCUAACAAGACUGCCAGUGCAAACUGUGAGGAAGGUGGGGAUGACGUCAAAUCAUCACGGCCCUUACGUCCUGGGCUACACACGUGCUACAAUGGUAGGUACAGAGAGCAGCCACUGCGCGAGCAGGAGCGAAUCUAUAAAACCUAUCACAGUUCGGAUCGGAGUCUGCAACUCGACUCCGUGAAGCUGGAAUCGCUAGUAAUCGGAUAUCAGCCAUGAUCCGGUGAAUACGUUCCCGGGCCUUGCACACACCGCCCGUC